AUUGUGGCAAAAUUUGCUUGUCUUGUAAUGGAGUAGAGACUGUUAAAGAGUGUUUAGAUGUAGAAAUAUGUAGCGAUGAUGAGGUUUGCUUUACACAAAAAUACCUGACUCUUCAGAAGCAAGAGUUGUAUGAUUUUGGAUGCUCUCUUCAUCAGUAUUGUUUAUCUGGAAGUUCUGGUUCAGUAUUUGGAAGACGUCGAACAGGUCGACAUAUACUUUGUCAUACUUGCUGCAACAGUACAAAUGUGUGCAACAUGAAAAGUGCAUGUGAACC
Long non-coding RNA from Mytilus trossulus (common blue mussel), 274 nucleotides. RefSeq lists it as uncharacterized. The transcript is spliced from 3 exons. The record is from RefSeq and is a predicted model, not a curated record. NCBI's taxonomy places the organism in Eukaryota, Metazoa, Mollusca, Bivalvia, Mytilida, Mytilidae.